UUGUGCCUACGGGGGGCAGCAGUAGGGAAUUUUCGUCAAUGGGCGCAAGCCUGAACGAGCGAUGCCGCGUGAGUGAAGAAGGCCUUCGGGUCGUAAAGCUCUGUUGCGGGGGAAAAAAGGCAGCAUCAGGAAAUGGGUGCUGACUGAUGGUGCCCCGCCAGACAGUCACGGCUAACUACGUGCCAGCAGCCGCGGUAAUACGUAGGUGGCGAGCGUUAUCCGGCUUUAUUGGGUUUAAAGGGUGCGUAGGCGGGCUUUUAAGUCAGCGGUACAAAUUCGGGGCUCAACCCCGUCCGGUCGUUGAA
Molecule: ribosomal RNA, 305 nt
Filed under: uncultured bacterium
Lineage: Bacteria
Description: bacterial SSU rRNA
Rfam family: Bacterial small subunit ribosomal RNA
Source: RNAcentral